GUGACACACACUCAUGCAUCUGCAUGCGUAUUCCGCUAAACCGAGACUGCCCAUCUCUCUCGAUCUCCCAAGAUUUUUCUGCUAUCGCGCUCAUCCGGGUGUUAGGCAUCCUCAGUCUGUCCAGAACUUUCACUGUGGAAGGAUGUGUUGGAGUGAUGUGUGAUUUCUUGUGCCCCGUACUUUGCUCGUCUACGUUUUGUGCCGUGUUCCUUCUUCUUCAAUUAUGGAAUGAUUUAUCGUUGUAAAUUUCUAAGUUACAGUGCACGCGCAUGUUAAUCGACGGUUGCCAACAUCCCGCAAAACGAUCGACGGAAGGAAAACGGUGUCCGGUUUUAAAAUAUAAAGAUUUCAUCACAGCUCUUUCGUAGAAGAGCGCACUUCAAGGACGCCUAGGAUACGGCUAAACAUGCGCAGCACCAGUCCGUGACGUCAUUUCCAGACAGGCGCCGGCUGAACACGCGCAGCACCAGUCGAGGAUAUCCUAGCGCAGAGGGUAGAAGGAAGAACGAGAGGAAGGGUAACAGAAAGCAACCGCAGCAUUUGGAAGGGGUGAAGCAUCCUGCCGUAUACAUAGUGUGAGUGUGCCAAAACGUAUGUGGAAAGAGUAACAUCAAUAAAUAGCAUGCGAAAGUGUGCAUAAAGCAAAACGAAAAAGCGUCACUACUACAACCAGCAAUCCGAAAAUAUAAGGGGAGGGAAAAAUACAAAUGUAUGCGUGAGCAGGACCAG
Molecule: long non-coding RNA, 729 nt
Organism: Anopheles gambiae (African malaria mosquito)
Lineage: Eukaryota; Metazoa; Arthropoda; Insecta; Diptera; Culicidae
Exons: 3
Source: RefSeq, a predicted model, not a curated record